UAAAAGUUCAAUAAAAAGCUAUGAACCUUGUCAGGUCCGGAAGGAAGCAGCAAUAAGUAGUGUAUUUAUGUGAAUAUUUAUUC
RNAcentral lists this signal recognition particle RNA (83 nucleotides) under Candidatus Merdicola faecigallinarum. RNAcentral describes it as "signal recognition particle sRNA small type". It matches the Rfam family "Bacterial small signal recognition particle RNA". Rfam says of the family: The signal recognition particle (SRP) is a universally conserved ribonucleoprotein involved in the co-translational targeting of proteins to membranes. Archaeal SRP consists of a 7S RNA and homologues of the eukaryotic SRP19 and SRP54 proteins. Lineage: Bacteria; Bacillati; Bacillota; Clostridia. The record is from RNAcentral.